CAUAGACAAAACUAGAGGAGACAUUCGGAAGCAACUACACACGUUAAGUUGGCUGCAGCUGAGCUAUGCGAUUAGUAUUUGUCGAUGUGUUUAUUAAAGUCCUCGGUAAUUGGCUAUACGAGUAGCCUACGUCCACAAUCGAUUAUUAUAAUAGUUCCUUCAUUUUUUAUGCAUGUAUGCAAGUAAUUGCCCAAGUGCCGCGGUGAAAAAUAACAACAGAGAAACAAGCAAAAGAACGAGAAAUAAGUAAAAUGAAAUUAUUUACCCUAGGCUUGUUGGGCUACUGUUUGCACUAGGACACUUCAUAAAAGCCAUAAUCGUAGGAUAAUUCUUGUUGUUGUUGUUCUAUUUCUGCUGGCCUAGCCACAUGGCCAACUUGGUGAAUGGCAAAGCUCGAAUGGCAGCCGCAUGAAUAAUGGAAACAAAUCGGCAGCAAACGGCAAAAAGUUAAAUGCUUCUAAUGACAGAAAAUGAAGCAAAUAACGAAAAAUUGCGCAAAACAAAGGAGACAAAUAAUAAUAUACCAAAAUGGCCGACCAGUUGGGCUGACAAUCGGUUAGCCCUGGUCUACUGCCUGGUCACUCAGCCCGCACGCUUUCUGCGUGCGUGUCUGCUCGCUGUGCGUGCGUGUGUGUGUGUGUCUGUCUCUGAGCAAGAGCAAAAGAGAAUGUUACUCUCAGAGGAGCACGAGAAAGUGAAAGUGAAUUAACAGCAAGCAACUGCGGGCGAAUCGAGAAAAGCAUGUGCGCGGCAUAAUUACGAAGCAAUUAAACGGAAUUAUGAUUGAGGUCGCUCGACAGGCGAUGACUCCGAGAGUCACUGUACACAGAACAUAUGGCCACUGGCUGUAGUGUAGGUCGGGUACACCGUCCCUUCCGCAGUGCGAGGCGUGCCAAUGGGAUGCGUACAUCAUUAUCAUCUAUGCCACAGCGAAUGGGGCGCAGCACGAUUGCCAGUGAAUACAAGAACAAAACGUAGACACAAAUAAAGUACAAUAAAAGCUGUAAAGGCUAAUCAAAAUGCGCCAAGACGAAUUUGCAAUGCACUCACUUGUAUUAUUCCAAAUAUUUACAUAUGAAGAGAUGAUAAUUGAAAUGAUUUUGGAUCUAUGAUAAAUGUGUGCCUGCCUCUUUUAUCUGGGUAAUGUAAAAAAAAAAGAAUAAAACAAAAAAAGAGGAAAAACCUAAUGCUGGCACUAAUGACCAUGCAAUCUGCGGGUGCCAAAUGGGCAAUGGAUGUUUGAGCAGCUGCCGUUGGGACUGGGCUUAUGGAAAUGGUUAAGCUCUGCAUACAUAUAUGUAUGUGGGAUGGGCCUCAGGACAACAGGGGAGCUAAACAGGACAACAAACAUUGAACGUUAAAAGUGAAUCGCGUGAAGCACUUCAAUUAUGGCAAAUGCGUUAUAGAGUUGACACGCUGGACCCAUUGAAAAGGGUCAAAAUGGGUAUGUUGGUUUGGAUAUAUUGUGUAAGUAACAGAUAGAAAAUGAUAUUUUUGUGAAACAUUUCUUAUUGUGUAUAAAUAGAAACAUCCAAUUGCUAUUGCCUAUUAAUAGAAACAUUAAAUUUGUAGUAAAA
Long non-coding RNA from Drosophila mojavensis, 1577 nucleotides. RefSeq lists it as uncharacterized. Lineage: Eukaryota; Metazoa; Arthropoda; Insecta; Diptera; Drosophilidae. The transcript has 3 exons. The record is from RefSeq and is a predicted model, not a curated record.